GCUCCUGCAAAGGGGCCCAGAAUGGCGGGGAAGCGUUUCCUGUGGGACAAGACAGGCGUGAGCUCCUGCAAAGGGGCCCAGAAUGGCGGGGAAGCGUUUCCCGUGGGACAAGACAGGCGUGAGCUCCUGCAAUGGGGCCCAGAAUGGCGGGGGAGCGUUUCCCGUGGGACAAGACAGGCGUGAGCUCCUGCAAAGGGGCCCAGAAUCGUGGGGAAGCGUUUCCUGUGGGACAAGACAGGCGUGAGCUCCUGCAAAGGGGCCCAGAAUGGUGGGGAAGCAGAACUUCUGCCUCCAACUCACUUUCUCACCGUGCAACUGCGGAUCCAGAGGAAUCUCUGCAUGUGAGGCUCUGCCAGGUCUGCCUGGAUGAUCAAAACAGAUGGGAAGGAGCCAUGGUGGGGCAAUGAUCCUGUUCUGUUGCCUCCUGGAGAUUCAAGCAUUAUAUAUGGAGAGCUAUCAUCUCUACCCCUCCUCCCGGUUUACUCUCAUGGUGAGCUCAGGUUAUUGGGGAACAAGUGGUACUCAAGAUGGAUGAAGGACUUAAAUCCAAGACAAGAAACUAUAAAAAUUCUAAAAGACAACAUUGGAAAAACUCUUCUAGACAUUGGCUUAGGCAAGGAUUUCACGAACAAGAACCCAUAAGCAAACGCAAUAAGAACAAAAAUAAAUAGCUGGGACCUAAUCAAACUAAAGAGCUUUUGCACAGCAAAAGGAACAGUCAGCAGAGUAAACAGACAACACACAGAGUGGGAGAAAAUCUUCACAAUCUAUACAUCUGACAAAGGACUGAUAUCCAGAAUCUACAAUGGACUCAAACAAAUUAGCAAGAAACAAAUAAUCCCAUCAAAAAGUGGGCUAAGGACAUGAAUAGACUUUUAGGUUACUUUUAGGUAUUUGUGUGUGCAGACCUCUUGGUGUCAAGGCUAAACUGUUCCUUUCUCUGACACAUGGGAAAUUGAUGCACAAUACCUUGCAGUGUAUAAUUCCAGGCCCCUAGGCACUGGAGACUGGGUUAUCUUUUCACUCAACUGACAGUUGAUACAUUGUUUGCACUGAAAAAUCUGGCUUUGUUGAACCACACCAGUUUAUGUUUUUAAUUCCAAAUCUUACCUUGUUAUGAACUAUUUUUUUGUCCUUUCCUCUAGAGAAAUGCUAAUGCUGCUUGCUUACAUGGAAAGUAAAGUUAAGGAGUUGGUGUUGACAUUUUGGCUUGCUGUCACAGGCAAAAAAGAAUAGUGCUGUUUUUGUGUGUUUAAUUUUCUUUCACUUUCCCCACUCUGUGUAUUGGAGGAUGCCUUUAGCAAUAAGUAGUCCUUAUCCAGGUCACUCACUCAUUAACCGCCAACCACUGACAGUAAUGUCUUUACUAGAUAUUUUGCUUCUUUUGAUUAAUUUGUCUCUAUUUCCUUUGUUCUAAAGCCUAUAGUGAGUAAUCAUAUUUGGAGUAAUAGCAGAGCUCCCUGCUGUGUUUUCAUUUGCUUAAAUCAAGACUUAGCUGCUGUAUUGAGGAACCAAGACUGAGAUGUGGGGCUAGGAGGGCCUAGGGUCUGUCAGGCACUCUUCAGUGACUUGAGGUGCUGAAUGACUCACACUGUACUGGGAGAUGACCACCUGUGUGCAUCCAACACAGUCACAGAUAGUGCCAUUGAGCCACCAGGAGCAGCCACAGACCAUCAGUGGUUGUGCUUUGGAAUACGCAAUUUUGUGUUUCUGGUGAGCUGUAAUCUUUUCUUUUCCCAUAGAAUUAUUUUUCAUUGAAUUAUGCUAUUAAAACUCAUCUUUGGGUUUCUUGUAACGUCAUUGCCGAGAACGUUAUUUUUGCAUUUCACAGUGAUUUCUUGAGGAGGAAGUAAGAAGUAAUUGUUUUCUGGACUCACUGUCUGAAAAACUUGCACUUUACUGAAGCGAUUGUUUUGUUUACACUAAGUAACAAUAUGAGUUUUGUUAGCUUUUUGGAUGGACUACAAAGCAUAAAACCAACUUUGUUCCUCAUCUCUGGCAAAGAUGGAGGGUUGUUGGCUUGUGUUGUGUGAUGAGUCUUAUACCUGGCUCUGUCUGCUCUUGCCUUUUGCCUUACAUUUCAAAGACCUCACUUUUUUCUUUUCUUUUUUUAAAAAAUAUUUUAUCACAUGAUUUUCUAUACAUUUUAAUAAAAUUUCUUUUUUGUAAAAAAAGCAAAGCAUAAAUAAAAUAGGGUAGCCAUUUCUUCUAAGGUUAUGUUGAAUCUAACCCAAACUCUUAUCAGAGAAAACUCUGCUUUAGAUGUAGCCUAAAGCAGGAAGCAACAAACCUGUAUACAGCCAAAGUAUCAUCUCAAGGGCCUGCAUUCAAAUCUCACACAUGUGGCUUGAAAGUGAUCUCUUUUGCCCUUAUUUCAAGGCCUAAUCUUAGGUUACAUAGUACUUAAAGAAGCUUCAGUAUGCAAUUUCAAAGCCUGUAGUAGAUGUAAAAUGAGAAAAUUAGAAAUAAGGAGAAAAGCUGCUACAUGAGGACACUGACAGCAAGGAAAGGGAGAGAAAAACUCACAAAGUAAGUGGAAAAAUAGACCAAUGCAAAUAACCCCACAUAGUUUAACAGACCUCAUCAUAUCUAUUGUGUACAUGUUUGUAUGACAUAGAUUAUAUCUAUUAUAUGUAAUCCAGUGUUCAUAGUGUUGACUUAGAAAUUAUCAACCAAAUUCAAAGCUUUUAGGCUUUGAAAAUUGUUUGAAAAGAUUUUCACCCAAAAUAUUUAAAUUAUUAAAAAAAAUUAUUGUUGAUUAAAGUUGUAAUCCUCAAUUAAUUAGAAGUUUUGGCUAUCCAGAGACCUUAUAUUCCAAAGACUUUAGAGAGUUGUUUGUUAGAUCACAUAAAUUAUUACCAAUAUCCUACAUUUAAGCUUCUAAUUUACGUAAAUUGUGAGCAAAAUUGAGAGCCACACAAAUAUUCAAUCUCUGAAGCUCUUAUGGCAGCAUUGAUCAAAUAGGUUAGAGAACACAUGGAUACAGCUUUAUUGCCUUCUAGUUUUACUGCAAACGUGUUAUUUAAUAGUAUGCAAAUGAUUGGCUAGAUGUACAGACUGCCAGGGCCUUCAUAGCAAACAGGUUUUGUGUUUACCCUAGCAUACAAAAAUGCUUCAUCUACGAUGUAUGCUGUAACUGUGUGUAUUGUCUACCCUAGCAUGCAAAAAUGCUUCAUCUAAAAUGUAUGCUAUAACUAUGUGUAUUAUAUUAUCUAUAAUUAUAUUUCUCCUUGGUUUAAUAUUAGAUAUUUUCAGGUACAAGAAAUGUAUGCACAUUAUAGAUUCAAUGCAUGUAGGUUAUAUGUGUAAAUAUUUAUUGAUAAGAGGCAUUAAACCCCUGCCUUCUAUGCUGGAUAAACUCCUGAACUUAGCCUCCAAAACACCACAGUAGCCUCCCUGGUAAGCACAGGGCUCUUUCUCUACCCUUUUGUGUCUCCCACGCUCCCACUUGUCUACAAGAGCUGAGUGUAGACCAAGAGCAAUAAAGUUCAUUUCCCCAAAAUAAGGCGUAGCAUUCAGGUUUUGUGAUACCUGAUUGGUUUACAUUGUUUACAGGUGGGGCCUCGAAGGGGUAAAAAUCAGAAGCUUCUUAUUCUGAGCGCAAGGGCAAGAUCAUUGAGCAGACAUUGACCUCCCUUCAGACAUUUCUUGGGAGGAACAGAAUGAGAAUUUCAGGGGCCAGUGCCUGCACCCUACUAGCUGUGGCAGCCUGGUGCUCAUCUACUUCUCCAGCUUGGGAAGGCCUAGGUUAACCCCAGUCUUUGGAGGCAUUGUUAUUCCUCUUCUCUCCCUGCUUCCCCGUGUUUGUGUUCUGGGCCCGGUGUAACACUGAGGUUCAGAAUUGCUUUCAAGAGAGGAGCCCAUUUCUGUGUCUAUGCAAGGCUGGACAAUUUCUCCAAGUGGUUCAGCCUGUGGGGGUUAACGGGGCAAAAGCAUCUCAGCUAGUAAUAAACACUGCUUCGCCUCUUGCUUUUUUAUUUUUAUUUUUGCAAAACUUCUCUGUAGGUGUGUAUUUCUCUAGAGGAUUUCAAAAAUUCUCUGUAGGUGCGUAUUUCUGUAGAGGAAGGAGUGGUGACUGGGCCAGGGUGAAUGGAUUAUUUGAUCUAUAUUAUCUUGAAUUUUAUAUCUUUUAUUUUAAAAUUUGGGUGUUUUUUGAAGUAGGAAAUCAAUGCACAUGGCUGAAUAUCUAAAAAGUGUAAAAGUAUACAUUGAAAAGUCUUCCUCCUAAUCUCGUGAUUGUCUUCGUUUCAGUCCCCAUGGCCACAUCAUGAGGCUACUGAUGUCAUUAGUUUCUUUUGCGUUCUUCUAGGGUUUCUGUUGGCAUAUGCAAGCAACAAUAAAUGUAUACCUUUAUGUUUUCUCUUUUUACAGCAAGGACAGUUUAUUAAACACACUGUUUUAAACCUUAUUUUUUCUCUAAAUAAUAUUUCAUAUAAGUCAGUAUGUAGACUUUAUGUAUUUUUAAAAUGAAGACAUAGCGUUCCACUGAACUUAGACAAUAAUUUACUUAACUAGUCCAAGAUUGAAGAAUAAAAUUAUUUUGAAUCUUUUGUUAAUAGUUAAUAGCUUUGAUGAGUACACUUAUGCAUACAUUAUUUUACACAUGUUCAAGUAUGUUGUAUAAACCCCAAAGUGGGAAUGCUCUGUCAAAUAUUACAGGUAUUUGCAACUUUGAUAGAUACUAAUUGCCCUCGAUAGAGGUAGUAAAAGCUUACACUCCACAGCCUUACUGAUGAUAUAUAUUAUAAAACUUUUAGUUCUUGCCAAUCUAAACGUGAAAAAUGGUAUUUCAUGGUAAUUUAAAUGCUUUUCUCGUUUUAUAACUGAGGUUGACAUCUAUCAAAAAAUUAUUUGAAUUUUUCUGAGAACUAUUAAUCUUUGAAUCCUUUUCUGUUGUUUAUCUUUUCCUUCUUCAUUUCUAAAAGUUCCUAUACAGAGAGAUUCACCCGUUAUCUGUGAUAUGAUUACAAAUGUCUGCCCUCCAAUUUGUUAUAUGUCUUUAGAUCCAAAUACCUUAUUUUUUGCCAUGUAGAAAUUUUUAAUUUGUAUGUGAUAAAAUGUUAAUACUUUAUGGAUUCUGGAUUUUCAGAAAUAAAAAGGUCAUCCUCACUUCCAGGUUUUAAAGAAAUUCUUUAAUGUUAUUUUAUGUUUUUGUAUGG
Molecule: long non-coding RNA, 5159 nt
Filed under: Homo sapiens (human)
Lineage: Eukaryota; Metazoa; Chordata; Mammalia; Primates; Hominidae
Description: HSALNT0082819
Source: RNAcentral